UACGUAGGGUGCGAGCGUUAAUCGGAAUUACUGGGCGUAAAGCGUGCGCAGGCGGUUCGUUGUGUCGGUGGUGAAAGCCCCGGGCUUAACCUGGGAAUGGCCAUGGAAACUGGCGAACUGGAGUGUGGCAGAGGGGGUGGAAUUCCGCGUGUAGCAGUGAAAUGCGUAGAGAUGCGGAGGAACACCGAUGGCGAAGGCGGCCUGCUGGGCAGUGGCUGACGCUGAGGCGCGACAGCGUGGGGAGCAAACAGG
This 252-nucleotide ribosomal RNA is filed under the name uncultured bacterium. Its description in RNAcentral is "partial 16S ribosomal RNA". It matches the Rfam family "Bacterial small subunit ribosomal RNA", at positions 524 to 776 of the family's 1533-position model. The record is from RNAcentral.